GAUGAACGCUAGCGGCAGGCCUAACACAUGCCAGUCGAGGGAGAAGCCCUUUCGGGGGCAGAAACCGGCGCACGGGUGCGUAACGCGUAUGCAACCUACCUUUCACAGGGGGAUAGCCCGAAGAAAUUUGGAUUAAUACCCCAUAAUAUUAUUGGAUGGCAUCAUUUGAUAAUUAAAACUGCGGUGGUGAAAGAUGGGCAUGCGUCCUAUUAGCUAGUUGGAGUGGUAACGGCACCCCAAGGCUACGAUAGGUAGGGGUCCUGAGAGGGAGAUCCCCCACACUGGUACUGAGACAGGGACCAGACUCCUACGGGAGGCAGCAGUGAGGAAUAUUGGUCAAUGGUCGGAAGACUGAACCAGCCAUGCCGCGUGCAGGAAGAAUGCCUUAUGGGUUGUAAACUGCUUUUAUAUGGGAAGAAUAAGGCGUACGUGUACGUUGAUGACGGUACCAUAUGAAUAAGCAUCGGCUAACUCUGUG
RNAcentral lists this ribosomal RNA (478 nucleotides) under uncultured bacterium. Its description in RNAcentral is "partial 16S ribosomal RNA". It matches the Rfam family "Bacterial small subunit ribosomal RNA", at positions 28 to 507 of the family's 1533-position model. The record is from RNAcentral.